This 305-nucleotide ribosomal RNA is filed under the name uncultured bacterium. Its description in RNAcentral is "bacterial SSU rRNA". It matches the Rfam family "Bacterial small subunit ribosomal RNA", at positions 338 to 635 of the family's 1533-position model. The record is from RNAcentral.
CCUACGGGGGGCAGCAGUAGGGAAUCUUCGGCAAUGGGGGGAACCCUGACCGAGCAACGCCGCGUGAGUGAAGAAGGUUUUCGGAUCGUAAAGCUCUGUUGUAAGAGAAGAACGUUAGCGGGAGUGGAAAAUCCGCUAAGUGACGGUACCUUACCAGAAAGGGACGGCUAACUACGUGCCAGCAGCCGCGGUAAUACGUAGGUCCCGAGCGUUGUCCGGAUUUAUUGGGCGUAAAGCGAGCGCAGGCGGUUUGAUAAGUCAGAAGUAAAAGGCUGUGGCUCAACCAUAGUACGCUUUUGAAACUG